AUUUGCCUGAAUGCUGGUGGGAUCAACAAAUAACCGGAUCAGGGCGUUUCGGUGACUGCAAAGUCGUGCUGAACUUCACUGUGACUUAAACCUAAAAUAAUAAACACACAAACAAACAUUAAGAUGGCUUUAAACGCGUGCUAUCGACUGACGAGGUGUGUUUUACGAGUUGCAGAAAGCAGAACUGUUGCUGUGAGAGCGUUAGCAUCGCGCUCGCGCUGUUUAUAUCGGCAGGCCGGUGUGAGUACAGACCUUUGGACGCGCAGUUUCUCUGCAGCUGAUCAGACCGCGGUGUCGGUGACUUAUGAUCAGAUAAAGAAGCUUCUUGUGACCAAGUCUGGUGUUGUAAUUGACGUGAGAGAGCCUUGGGAACUCCGAGAAUACGGCAGUAUACCUGGCUCUAUUAACGUGCCACUGGGUCAGGUGAUCGCGGCUCUGCAGCUGAAGCCAGAAGAGUUUAAGGAGAAAUAUGGAGGUGAAAUGCCUAUGGUUGGUGAACGCCUGAUCUUUACCUGUCUGGCAGGUGUGAGGAGUCCGAAAGCUCUGGAAGCAGCUCAGUCCUUAGGAUACUCCAAGUGAGGAAGAGUUUUCACUCAUCCUCACCAUCUUCCUCACAAUAAGAUUAUUUACAUGACUAUUAUAACCAUGUACAGCACUAUCCAGGAGGAUGGCAAGACUGGGCUAAACAUGAAAUACUGCAGACUAAAGCGUGAGUCAUCAUGAAGCUGUAAAACUGUGAGAAAUAUACAAAGAAAAACUCCAUGUACACUGUAAUAAAGGACGGACUGGUCAACGUCGUUCAGCUGCGAAUGUGAUCAUUAUUUAUUUGCCAAAUCUAAAGAAAUGAAAGAACUGAAACUGCACAGAAAGUCAAAUUACACUUGUCCUAUUUUAUAAGCUUCUGUAUAUAUUUACCAACAUGUUUAUUGUGUGUUCUGAACACUUUAGCUUCAUUAAAGAUAUUUAUCAGGAAGCUAGAAAGGAAUUCUGGGAUACAGCCAUAACUGAAGCAGGCUUAAUAAUCGCUGCAAAUUUAUAAUUAAUUUAGAAAGUUAUUAAUGUAUUGGGAUUAUUCUAAGGUGCAUGCUCUGGAAACAGAAGACAGUACUUUAUAAAAGUUUGCACACAUUUGCCUUAAAUCUUGUUGUACCUUUCAGUGUCUGAUAAAAUAAAUAAAUGACUUGAAAUGA
Molecule: RNA transcript, 1190 nt
Organism: Tachysurus vachellii
Lineage: Eukaryota; Metazoa; Chordata; Actinopteri; Siluriformes; Bagridae
Gene: tstd3
Gene name: thiosulfate sulfurtransferase like domain containing 3
Exons: 4
Source: RefSeq, a predicted model, not a curated record